CAUAGCGGGGAAAAGAACCCACCAGGGAUUGCCCUAGUAACGGCGAGUGAAGCGGCAACAGCUCAAAUUUGAAAUCUGGCUCCUUUGGGGUCCGAGUUGUAAUUUGCAGAGGGAGCUUUUGGCGUCGGUCGUGGUCUAAGUUCCUUGGAACAGGACGUCACAGAGGGUGAGAAUCCCGUACGUGGCCGCCGGCCUUCGCCUUGUAAAGCCCCUUCGACGAGUCGAGUUGUUUGGGAAUGCAGCUCUAAAUGGGAGGUAAAUUUCUUCUAAAGCUAAAUACCCGCCAGAGACCGAUAGCGCACAAGUAGAGUGAUCGAAAGAUGAAAAGCACUUUGGAAAGAGAGUGAAAAAGCACGUGAAAUUGUUGAAAGGGAAGCGCUUGCGGCCAGACGUGCCCGCGGUUGAUCAUCCAGGCUCCAGCCUGGUGCACUCCUCCGCGGGCAGGCCAGCAUCAGUUCGGGCGGUCGGAUAAAGGCCUCUAUCACGUACCACCCCUCGGGGUGGCCUUAUAGGGGAGGCGCAACACGGCCAGCCCGGACUGAGGUUCCGCGCAUCUGCUAGGAUGCUGGCGUAAUGGCAGCAAGCGGCCCGUCUUGAAACACGGACCAAGGAGUCUAACAUCUAUGCGAGUGUUUGGGUGUCAAGCCCGAGCGCGCAAUGAAAGUGAACGGAGGUGGGAACCCUUACCGGUGCACCAUCGACCGAUCCUGAUGUCUUCGGAUGGAUUUGAGUAAGAGCAUAGCUGUUGGGACCCGAAAGAUGGUGAACUAUGCCUGAAUAGGGUGAAGCCAGAGGAAACUCUGGUGGAGGCUCGCAGCGGUUCUGACGUGCAAAUCGAUCGUCAAAUUUGGGCAUAGGGGCGAAAG
Molecule: ribosomal RNA, 866 nt
Filed under: Torula sp.
Lineage: Eukaryota; Fungi; Ascomycota; Dothideomycetes; Pleosporales; Torulaceae
Description: partial large subunit ribosomal RNA
Rfam family: Eukaryotic large subunit ribosomal RNA
Source: RNAcentral